This is a long non-coding RNA of Esox lucius (northern pike), 1060 nucleotides long. NCBI's taxonomy places the organism in Eukaryota, Metazoa, Chordata, Actinopteri, Esociformes, Esocidae. The record is from Ensembl.
CAGGUCUGACCUGGGAUACACGGGGCUCAGGUCUGACCUGGGAUACACGGGGCUCAGGUCUGACCUGGGAUACACGGGGCUCAGGUCUGACCUGGGAUACACGGGGCUCAGGUCUGACCUGGGUAUUUUAUAGGGAACAACACUUCACUGGGGAGGCAGCUGGAGAGACAGAUCACAGGCGCUAGGAGUUAGAUCUUCUGUAGACUUCAACCUGGAAGACACUGCUGUUUAAAGGCACUUUAGAAAACACACACACAGGAAGGUUUACCUACAACACACACAUCUGCCACACAAAUGUUUGUACAAAACACUUCUCAUCCACCAGUGAGACGGGUGAACGCACCAUGAGUGGAGCGCUAUAUCUGGAGAAUGUUACGUUUGACCUAAACGAUUGUUUGGCAGUUGAUUUGAAUGUUUAAAUGGUUCAACCAGGAGUUAGUUUUUUUCCCUCAGCUGGGCUGAAUCCCAAACCGUAUUCCUUAAUCAGCGCUCUACCUUUCACCACUGGGACCCAGAGGUGUCAAAAGUAAUGUGCUAUAAAGAGAGCAUGGCCCCAUUUGGGACUCAGGACGUCGUCUCCCCUUACUCCAAAGUGUACACUUGUUCCCCUCCCUAAUUCACUGCAAGGAGACACGUGGUUUAAUAUCCCACAUUUACCAGCGCCUUUAGCUUCGUGUGUAGUAGUGAACAAGUGUACACUUCCGGUGAACAUGUCAUUGGCACGCACAUAGGUGUCCUAGGGUGCUUUGCCCUUUGUGGCCACCGGGGGGCAGCACUGUGCCACGUGUAAAUGGGAGACUAGCGGUCGUUAUGAUUUUGAGUGAUUGAGUUGUUAACAGCCUACAGUACAGUGUGUUUCUGUGUGAGUUCAGUAAAUGUUUCUGUGUUACAAGCCAGCCUUGCGAUGGGAAUUAUAUUGGGGAACAUGAUUAAUUGUAUGUGUAGUGUGUUGGGAAUUUAAUAAUUUAUAUUUUGUAGAUAACUAAUGAUUUUUUUUUCCUCAAAAUUAAAGUACUAAUUGAAAAAACGAAACUCGUGUGUGUGUGUGUGUGUGUGUGUG